AACUAGCCCUGAUAACAGCGGCAUCCUUUUUCUUUUUUUUCUUUAAAAAAAGAAAAAGAUACAGCGAAUAGCAGGAUAUAGC
This 82-nucleotide small RNA is filed under the name Flavobacterium sp. 120. Its description in RNAcentral is "Flavo-1 RNA". It matches the Rfam family "Flavo-1 RNA". The record is from RNAcentral. Lineage: Bacteria; Pseudomonadati; Bacteroidota; Flavobacteriia; Flavobacteriales; Flavobacteriaceae.